GAAAGGCAGGUGGGAAGGAAGGAAAACACAAAAAAAAAGCAUGUCAAUUUCUGUGAGCAAUCAUGUUCCACUGCAAUAGUCAGAAGUCCUAUUCUCUGCUGUACUUUGCCUUUUUUUUAAGUCACCCUAUAUUCUGAUUGGGAUUGAGAUUCUAACAUCUCAGUGGAAUAAACUUAUUUAUUUGUUGUUAGGGGACACGUGUACUAAAUCAGCAGUACUCAUUAAACCACUGGCCCAUGUGUAUCAGUUUCCUGGAUCUAAAUUUUGUACACAGAGAGAAAAAUUUUUUUGCCAAAAUGCAGAAUAUUUACCUGCCUUUCUCUAAUUGGUUGUUACAUUAACAUAUGAGCUCUGAUGUAACCUUGUAUCUAUAAUUAUGGGAUGGUCACAGGUGCAUAAAUUAACUUUUUUCAAUGGAAUAGUAAAGGAUGAUUGAUACUUCUGUAUUACGGAUUGAUUGAGAUACUCUCAGUCACACACAUGUCUAUAUUCCCUUAUGGUGCAUCCCCAUAAAGGAAUAUUAGACUCCUUCAGUCACUAGAUCUUCUGUGAGUAUGUGUACUCCAGAAGCUGGAGUGAACCCACUGUGCCCUCUGGACUAGACGUUUGGGUGUCCUUAAAGGAAACCCAGGGCACAGCAUAUCCAGAAGGUCCCAGGCCUGGGCAGCUAGGAUCCUCCAGAUUCAGCUACAAGAUAUGAAGUGAUGGUUAACAUUUUCUCCCAGAUGCCAUCAGUAGAGGUGGUGCAUUCCUUCAAGCCUACAACACUGGAACUCUGUCACCUUGAGGUAGCCUGCAGUUCAGGGUUACCAGUCAAGGAGAAUGAGCUGCAAGGAAGGAGGGCAAGAUCAGAAAUUCCCAGCAGAGAAUUGUAUUCUCUAGGCUGUAAAUUUCUUCUGUUUCUCAAAGGAGGAAAAGAGAAGUUGCAUAACAUUUUAUAAGACACUUUAGAAAAUCAUUACUACAUAUUUGAAAGGAAAACAGCACAUGGAAUUUUCAUGAACUAUAAUGUAUAUCUGGCACUUAAAACAUUUUAAGGGAUUUAUAUUUUCAAAAAGGGCUUUGAUUCUGUGGUCACAUAAGUGACCCAAAGUUACUGUUCUGCCAAGCCAAAUUCUUUUCACUUAUGGGAUUUAACAGAUUAAAUUAAAACAGUGGAAAAGAAAAUAAUUAAUAACACGUUUUAGUCAUGCUUUAAACCAAAAAUAGCUUUUUCUUUUUUAACUGCACAACUAUAGCAUAGAAUAAGAGAACUAAAAUCCAAAAUCACGCUGUAUGAUAAUACCCUUUCCACUUGCAUAUUUCAGUCACAGUCCAGUGAUGAGUUCCAUCAAGAAAGCCUGGAGAUCUUAAACAGGGAGGAAUGGAAGACAGAAUUUCAAGCCCUUAUCUUUCAACUGCAUAAAAAGUUGAUCACUGUUUCUUGGAAACCUCUAGAAGAUCACUGGCCUGGCAUUCAGAGCACUUAGGGAAGAGUUGUCACCAAAAAUACAAAGCAGACACAUCUAUGACAUCUAGUAAAAUAUUUAAACGGAAGUGUGAAAAGGUACUAACUUAUUUCUACGUAAGAUCUAGAUAGUACAACAAAGUCCAUGCUCUGUAACAUUUUUAUUCUUGUUAAAAAUUUAAAAGGCAAGCUUCUAAUGUCUGAGCACUAAGUUAAGUUGUAGUCAGUCUGUAAAACAG
This is a long non-coding RNA of Tympanuchus pallidicinctus (lesser prairie-chicken), 1686 nucleotides long. RefSeq lists it as uncharacterized. The record is from RefSeq and is a predicted model, not a curated record. Lineage: Eukaryota; Metazoa; Chordata; Aves; Galliformes; Phasianidae. The transcript has 3 exons.